This 99-nucleotide small nucleolar RNA is filed under the name Ricinus communis (castor bean). Its description in RNAcentral is "Small nucleolar RNA Z103". It matches the Rfam family "Small nucleolar RNA Z103". Rfam says of the family: This family consists of several snoRNA Z103 sequences which are members of the C/D class of snoRNA which contain the C (UGAUGA) and D (CUGA) box motifs. The record is from Rfam by way of RNAcentral. Lineage: Eukaryota; Viridiplantae; Streptophyta; Magnoliopsida; Malpighiales; Euphorbiaceae.
GUGGAAGUGGUUAUUAUUUCCCUAGAUGAUUGAUGCUGAACAAACUAAGCGUUUUUAUUUCUUUAUUAAAAGAGAAUUCAAGCUAGGAAAUUGAUCCAU